This 444-nucleotide ribosomal RNA is filed under the name uncultured delta proteobacterium. Its description in RNAcentral is "bacterial SSU rRNA". It matches the Rfam family "Bacterial small subunit ribosomal RNA", at positions 9 to 480 of the family's 1533-position model. The record is from RNAcentral. Lineage: Bacteria; Deltaproteobacteria.
GAGUUUGAUCGUGGCUCAGAACGAACGCUUGCGGCGCGCCUAAUACAUGCAAGUCGAACGAGGUAGCAAUACCAAGUGGCGCACGGGUGAGUAACGCGUGGAUAAUCUGCCUAUCAGUGGGGAAUAACUAUCCGAAAGGAUAGCUAAUACCGCAUGAGGCCACAGUUUCUGCGGAAACAGGGGUUAAAGAUUUAUCGCUGAUAGAUGAGUCUGCGUGGGAUUAGCUAGUUGGUGAGGUAAUGGCUCACCAAGGCUACGAUCUCUAACUGGUCUGAGAGGAUGACCAGUCACACUGGAACUGAGACACGGUCCAGACUCCUACGGGAGGCAGCAGUAGGGAAUAUUGCGCAAUGGGGGAAACCCUGACGCAGCGACGCCGCGUGAGUGAUGAAGGCCUUAGGGUCGUAAAGCUCUGUUGAAUGGGAAGAACAAAUGACGGUACCA